AACGAACGCUGGCGGCGCGUCUUAAGCAUGCAAGUCGAACGGCAAGAGAGAAGCUUGCUUCUCUCCUAGAGUGGCGGACUGGUGAGGAACACGUGGGUAAUCUACCCUUAAGAUAGGGAUAGCUGCUAGAAAUAGCAGGUAAUACCGAAUACACUCAGUUUUUCAUAAGAAGGAUUGAGGAAAGGAAGCUACGGCUUCGCUUGAGGAUGAGCUUGCGUCCCAUUAGCUUGUUGGUGAGGUAACGCCCACCAAGGCGACGAUGGGUAUCCGGCCUGAGAGGGUGAUCGGACACAUUGGGAUGAGAUACGGCCCAAACUCUUACGGGAGGCAGCAGUUAAGAAUAUUCCGCAAUGGACGAAAGUCUGACGGAGCGACGCCGCGUGGAUGAAGAAGGUGAAAAGUUGUAAAAUCCUUUUGUUGAUGAAGAAUAAGUAGAGGGAAUGAUCUGAUGACGGUAAUCCGAAUAAGCCCCG
This 473-nucleotide ribosomal RNA is filed under the name Treponema sp. oral taxon 228. Its description in RNAcentral is "bacterial SSU rRNA". It matches the Rfam family "Bacterial small subunit ribosomal RNA", at positions 29 to 495 of the family's 1533-position model. Lineage: Bacteria; Pseudomonadati; Spirochaetota; Spirochaetia; Treponematales; Treponemataceae. The record is from RNAcentral.